Molecule: ribosomal RNA, 397 nt
Filed under: uncultured bacterium
Lineage: Bacteria
Description: partial 16S ribosomal RNA
Rfam family: Bacterial small subunit ribosomal RNA
Source: RNAcentral
AUACGUAGGUGACAAGCGUUAUCCGGAUUUACUGGGCGUAAAGGGCGUGUAGGCGGUCUUGCAAGUCAGAAGUGAAAUUCCUGAGCUCAACUCGGGCGCUGCUUCUGAAACUGCAGGACUUGAGUGCUGGAGGGGAUAGCGGAAUUCCUAGUGGAGCGGUAAAAUGCGCAGAUAUUAGGAAGAAAUCCGGAGGCGAAGGCGGCUAUCCGGGCAGUAACUGACGGUGAGGCGCGAAAGCGUGGAGUGAAAACAGGAUGAGAUACCCGUGUAUCCCACGCCGUAAACGAUGAAUACUAGGUGUAGGGAGUAUAGACUCCCUCUGUGCCGCAGUUAACACAAUAAGUAUUACGGCUGGGGAGUUCGGCCGCAAGGUUGAAACUCAAAGGAAUUGACGGGG